This 380-nucleotide long non-coding RNA is filed under the name Sorghum bicolor (sorghum). RNAcentral describes it as "long non-coding RNA (SBIC_LNC007627)". Lineage: Eukaryota; Viridiplantae; Streptophyta; Magnoliopsida; Poales; Poaceae. The record is from RNAcentral.
GUGGCACAUGUAUGGAGCAUUAAAUAUAGAUGAAAACAAAAAAUAAUUGCACAGUUAAUUACCUAUAAAUCACAAAAUGAAUCUUUUAAGCCUAGUUACUCCAUGAUUAAUAAUGUUUGUGAAACAAAGACGAAAGUGCUACAGUGUCAAAAUCGAAAAACUUUUUGAAUCUAAACAAGGCUGUCACACCCAAUUUUAAGGAUAAAAUUGAAUGCAAAACCUUAUGUGUGCCCAGAGAUAUGCAAAACCUUAUGUGUGCCCAGAGAUCAAUCACACAUAAGCCGACAAAUUAUAGGGAGUAUCAUCACAAGUGUUUAUACAUAACGAUAUAACUCAGAGUCUUUACAUAAAUAUAGCGGAAAAUAAAAGAUAACUCUAGC